GAAUAUGGGGGGACCAUCCUCCAAGGCUAAAUACUCCUGACUGACCGAUAGUGAACCAGUACCGUGAGGGAAAGGCGAAAAGAACCCCGGCGAGGGGAGUGAAAAAGAACCUGAAACCGUGUACGUACAAGCAGUGGGAGCACCCUUUGGGGUGUGACUGCGUACCUUUUGUAUAAUGGGUCAGCGACUUAUAUUCUGUAGCAAGGUUAACCGAAUAGGGGAGCCGGAGGGAAACCGAGUCUUAACCGGGCGUUAAGUUGCAGGGUAUAGACCCGAAACCCGGUGAUCUAGCCAUGGGCAGGUUGAAGGUUGGGUAACACUAACUGGAGGACCGAACCGACUAAUGUUGAAAAAUUAGCGGAUGACCUGUGGCUGGGGGUGAAAGGCCAAUCAAACCGGGAGAUAGCUGGUUCUCCCCGAAAGCUAUUUAGGUAGCGCCUCGUGAAUUCAUCUCCGGGGGUAGAGCACUGUUUCGGCUAGGGGGCCAUCCCGGCUUACCAACCCGAUGCAAACUGCGAAUACCGGAGAAUGUUAUCACGGGAGACACACGGCGGGUGCUAACGUCCGUCGUGAAGAGGGAAACAACCCAGACCGCCAGCUAAGGUCCCAAAGUCAUGGUUAAGUGGGAAACGAUGUGGGAAGGCCCAGACAGCCAGGAUGUUGGCUUAGAAGCAGCCAUCAUUUAAAGAAAGCGUAAUAGCUCACUGGUCGAGUCGGCCUGCGCGGAAGAUGUAACGGGGCUAAACCAUGCACCGAAGCUGCGGCAGCGACGCUGAUGCGUUGUUGGGUAGGGGAGCGUUCUGUAAGCCUGCGAAGGUGGCCUGUGAGGGUUGCUGGAGGUAUCAGAAGUGCGAAUGCUGACAUAAGUAACGAUAAAGCGGGUGAAAAGCCCGCUCGCCGGAAGACCAAGGGUUCCUGUCCAACGUUAAUCGGGGCAGGGUGAGUCGACCCCUAAGGCGAGGCCGAAAGGCGUAGUCGAUGGGAAACGGGUUAAUAUUCCCGUACUUGGUGUUACUGCGAAGGGGGGACGGAGAAGGCUAUGUUGGCCGGGCGACGGUUGUCCCGGUUUAAGCGUGUAGGUGUGUGUUCCAGGUAAAUCCGGUU
This 1104-nucleotide ribosomal RNA is filed under the name Salmonella enterica. Its description in RNAcentral is "partial 23S ribosomal RNA". It matches the Rfam family "Bacterial large subunit ribosomal RNA", at positions 440 to 1547 of the family's 2925-position model. Lineage: Bacteria; Pseudomonadati; Pseudomonadota; Gammaproteobacteria; Enterobacterales; Enterobacteriaceae. The record is from RNAcentral.